AGAGUUUGAUCCUGGCUCAGAUUGAACGCUGGCGGAACGCUUUACACAUGCAAGUCGAACGGCAGCGCGGAGAGCUUGCUUCCUGGCGACGAGUGGCGAACGGGUGAGUAAUACAUCGGAACGUGUCCGCUCGUGGGGGACAACCAGCCGAAAGGUUGGCUAAUACCGCAUGAGUUCUACGGAAGAAAGAGGGGGACCCGCAAGGGCCUCUCGCGAGCGGAGCGGCCGAUGACUGAUUAGCCGGUUGGUGAGGUAAAGGCUCACCAAAGCGACGAUCGGUAGCUGGUCUGAGAGGACGACCAGCCACACUGGGACUGAGACACGGCCCAGACUCCUACGGGAGGCAGCAGUGGGGAAUUUUGGACAAUGGGCGCAAGCCUGAUCCAGCUAUUCCGCGUGUGGGAUGAAGGCCCUCGGGUUGUAAACCACUUUUGUAGAGAACGAAAAGACACCUUCGAAUAAAGGGUGUUGCUGACGGUACCUGAAGAAUAAGCACCGGCUAACUACGUGCCAGCAGCCGCGGUAAUACGUAGGGUGCGAGCGUUAAUCGGAAUUACUGGGCGUAAAGGGUGCGCAGGCGGUUGAGUAAGACAGAUGUGAAAUCCCCGGGCUUAACUCGGGAAUGGCAUAUGUGACUGCUCGACUAGAGUGUGUCAGAGGGAGGUGGAAUUCCACGUGUAGCAGUGAAAUGCGUAGAUAUGUGGAAGAACACCGAUGGCGAAGGCAGCCUCCUGGGACAUAACUGACGCUCAGGCACGAAAGCGUGGGGAGCAAACAGGAUUAGAUACCCUGGUAGUCCACGCCCUAAACGAUGUUAACUAGUUGUUGGGAAGUAAAAUUCUCAGUAACGCAGCCAACGCGAGAAGUUAACCGCCUGGGAAGUACGGUCGCAAGACUAAAACUCAAAGGAAUUGACGGGGACCCGCACAA
This 930-nucleotide ribosomal RNA is filed under the name human gut metagenome. RNAcentral's name for it is "bacterial SSU rRNA". It matches the Rfam family "Bacterial small subunit ribosomal RNA", at positions 8 to 928 of the family's 1533-position model. The record is from RNAcentral.